AUGGCUCAAAUGGUAGAGUACUUGCCUGGAAAGUGUGAGACCCUGAGUUCAAACCUCAGU
RNAcentral lists this transfer RNA (60 nucleotides) under Dipodomys ordii (Ord's kangaroo rat). It matches the Rfam family "tRNA", at positions 7 to 64 of the family's 71-position model. Rfam says of the family: Transfer RNA (tRNA) molecules are approximately 80 nucleotides in length. Their secondary structure includes four short double-helical elements and three loops (D, anti-codon, and T loops). Lineage: Eukaryota; Metazoa; Chordata; Mammalia; Rodentia; Heteromyidae. The record is from Rfam by way of RNAcentral.